CAUGCUCUCUGAAACCAGAUCUGACUCAGGUUGCAGGUUUAGCAAGGGCUGAGAUGCCUGCUGGCUGAUAGCCAAAGGACAAGUGUGGAAAACUGGGAUGUGUGCAUCAGGAACAGUCUCAGCUGGAACCUCACCAAGCUGCAGGAUGACCUCCAACCACCUACUACAGAAAGAGCAAGACACAGCCUCAGGUGGGGCCGCAGCUAUCCAAAUGGCAAAGGAAGGGAAAGGAGCAGCUCCUGGGAAGAGCUUCAGCAGCAGUGCAAGCAGAGCUCUGCCAACUCCUGGCAGUCUGACGGUGGGCAAAGCCCUGACUGGGUUCUGUGCUGCUCUGACUGCAGGGCUCAAGUGCUGCCUAAUGCGACUCUGGGUUUGGUGCUGAGAUAAUGGCAAGUCUUGGUCCACAACAGUGACAGCUGGGGGAGUCAUUUUCAUCCAUGCCACAUUCCCAAGGGUUGCACAUGCCUGGGAGACAGGCUCGUGAUGAGUUCAAGGAGGGCACAGAAUGGCUUGAGAGAGUCCAGCACGGAGCCACCAAGAUGCUAAAGGGAAUGGAACAGCUGUGAGGAGCAGAGCCUGAGGGAGCUGGGGCUGUGCUGCUGGGAGAGGAGGAGAUUGAGAGGGGACCUCAGCAGUGGUUAUCAACACGUGCAGGAGGCUGCAGCCAGGCUCUGCUGGGUGAUGCCCAGGGUGGAAGCUGAGCCAUAGGAAGUUUCAUUCAACCAUGAGGAGGACUUUUUCCCUGUGAGGGUGGCAGAGACCUGGCACAGGCUGCCCAGGGGGUUGUGGAGUCUCUCUCUCUGGAGAUAAUCAAAACCCACCUGGAUAUGCUCCUGUGUGCUCUGGUCUAGGAGAUCCUGCUCUGGCAGGGCUUGGACUGGAUGAGCUUUGGAGCUCCUCCAGCCCCUGACACUCUGUGGCUCUGUGGAGUGACACAAGGCAUUGACAGUAACAGCAGCACAGAAGUCCCAUCUGAGCAGGGAGGGGAAGGUGUCAGUGGUUCUCUCACCAUGCAGGGGAUGACUUCAGGCUGAAGGUACCUCUCAAUGCUCUGCUUGUUGGUUGGGGCUGGGGGAGUUUUGCUUCUUUCAGAUCUAUGCAUCUGUUGGAUCUGAGACAGAAAAGGACACAUGGGUUUGAGAAUC
Long non-coding RNA from Pogoniulus pusillus (Red-fronted tinkerbird), 1145 nucleotides. RefSeq lists it as uncharacterized. NCBI's taxonomy places the organism in Eukaryota, Metazoa, Chordata, Aves, Piciformes, Lybiidae. The transcript has 3 exons. The record is from RefSeq and is a predicted model, not a curated record.